This 1005-nucleotide ribosomal RNA is filed under the name Acinetobacter brisouii. Its description in RNAcentral is "bacterial SSU rRNA". It matches the Rfam family "Bacterial small subunit ribosomal RNA", at positions 42 to 1042 of the family's 1533-position model. Lineage: Bacteria; Pseudomonadati; Pseudomonadota; Gammaproteobacteria; Moraxellales; Moraxellaceae. The record is from RNAcentral.
GCAGGCUUAACACAUGCAAGUCGAGCGGAGCGAAGGUGCUUGCACUUAGCUUAGCGGCGGACGGGUGAGUAAUGCUUAGGAAUCUGCCUAUUAGUGGGGGACAACGUUUCGAAAGGAACGCUAAUACCGCAUACGUCCUACGGGAGAAAGCAGGGGAUCUUCGGACCUUGUGCUUAUAGAUGAGCCUAAGUCGGAUUAGCUAGUUGGUGGGGUAAAGGCCUACCAAGGCGACGAUCUGUAGCGGGUCUGAGAGGAUGAUCCGCCACACUGGGACUGAGACACGGCCCAGACUCCUACGGGAGGCAGCAGUGGGGAAUAUUGGACAAUGGGCGAAAGCCUGAUCCAGCCAUGCCGCGUGUGUGAAGAAGGCCUUUUGGUUGUAAAGCACUUUAAGCGAGGAGGAGGAGCUUCAGGUUAAUACCCUGGAUGCUUGGACGUUACUCGCAGAAUAAGCACCGGCUAACUCUGUGCCAGCAGCCGCGGUAAUACAGAGGGUGCAAGCGUUAAUCGGAUUUACUGGGCGUAAAGCGUGCGUAGGCGGCUAAUUAAGUCAAAUGUGAAAUCCCCGAGCUUAACUUGGGAAUUGCAUUCGAUACUGGUUAGCUAGAGUAUGGGAGAGGAUGGUAGAAUUCCAGGUGUAGCGGUGAAAUGCGUAGAGAUCUGGAGGAAUACCGAUGGCGAAGGCAGCCAUCUGGCCUAAUACUGACGCUGAGGUACGAAAGCAUGGGGAGCAAACAGGAUUAGAUACCCUGGUAGUCCAUGCCGUAAACGAUGUCUACUAGCCGUUGGGGUCUUUGAGACCUUAGUGGCGCAGCUAACGCGAUAAGUAGACCGCCUGGGGAGUACGGUCGCAAGACUAAAACUCAAAUGAAUUGACGGGGGCCCGCACAAGCGGUGGAGCAUGUGGUUUAAUUCGAUGCAACGCGAAGAACCUUACCUGGCCUUGACAUACUAAGAACUUUCCAGAGAUGGAUUGGUGCCUUCGGGAACUUAGAUACAGGUGCU